CCCUAGCCCAGAUAGGAACGGUUACCCCACAGCAAGAAGUUGGAUCUGAAAGAAUGCGUCGGAGCGAGGAGUAUGAGUGGAUAGCUGGAAAUAGC
RNAcentral lists this unclassified non-coding RNA (95 nucleotides) under Chryseobacterium limigenitum. Its description in RNAcentral is "Flavo-1 RNA". Lineage: Bacteria; Pseudomonadati; Bacteroidota; Flavobacteriia; Flavobacteriales; Weeksellaceae. The record is from RNAcentral.